UCAGAUCCAAGGACAAGCAAAUAAAAGCGGCCUGUACACUUUAUCAAGUGCUCUCUUUCUGCAAUCACAAACAAGUCCAACGCCAAACUCACCUGCAGCUCCAACAUCACAUCAGAGCCCGGGACACACCGAAUGAGCUCCAGUAGCGGAAACUGCUUCACUACAAACUGGUAGUAUGUCUGUCAACACUUCUUGGAAAUUAGGUAUGAUUAGGUGAGCGAUUUGUGAAAUUGAAUGGAAUAAGCUUUAGGCUGGCCUGUAGUUUCAGUACAGUAGGAACCUUUUCAUGCUUCUGAAAAAAAAAUCUAGAGUGGCUAUAUUAAAUAUUUUAAUCACUGAUUCCAUGUUUAAAGAGGCAUAUCGGGUGGUCUGACCCUUAUUUAUUUCUCACAGGUGUCUUAAAUGAUUAUUCUCAUGGUUGCAGGUGUUAUAGGUUCAUUAAAACGGUUAGUGUGUUAAGAGGAAAUGGUGCUUUCAAAGGUCUUUUUUCUGAAGCACUCCCAGGUUUUGGGUGAGUGACCCCGUCCCCACGUCAUGCUGGAUCAAUACUUCUCCAAGCUUAUCACAAAACUGUUUGACUAAACCCUCUGUAGGUACAUAUAUGGAGGUUAAAGGAGAGUAGAAUGACCAGUCAUGACAUAGACUGGACUUGUUUCUCAUUUUCUUGCAGACUGGAUCACUGGGAGAGACGAUGUGUGUGUGAGUGUUUUAUAAAGUAAAUUGUGUUUUGUGAAGUGUUUCUUUUUCAGUGCUCUCACUAUUCCUACAGUAUGGAGGGUCAUGAGGAUCAGCCAUCUUUACUGAACAGAGUCUGUGACCAUCCUCCUGAGCUGUGGAGUGUGACAAUGGUGUUUGUAUCCUGUGUUGUCAAACGCCAUUAUCACACUAAAUAGCCACGGUGAGACCUCACAACCACCUCGGCCAAUCAGCACAGAGAAACACAAUAAUGAUGAUGGAUUCUGUUGUGGGAAUGUGAAAUACCCUUGUGUUCAUUUGGCAUCUGCCAAAAAUAGAUGUAAUGGAUCAUGCUUGUGUGUACUGAUCCAGUUACCAGACAGUAUGCAUGUCAUGUGACACACUUUCUUCAUAUUUUGUUCUGUAUUAGUAUCAUAUCAUGACAAUAAAAAAACUAGCAAGUUU
Molecule: long non-coding RNA, 1140 nt
Organism: Sinocyclocheilus anshuiensis
Lineage: Eukaryota; Metazoa; Chordata; Actinopteri; Cypriniformes; Cyprinidae
Exons: 2
Source: RefSeq, a predicted model, not a curated record